UCAUCUUCGGGGGUAGAGCACUGUUUCGGCUAGGGGGUCAUCCCGACUUACCAACCCGAUGCAAACUACGAAUACCGAAGAAUGUUAUCACGGGAGACACACGGCGGGUGCUAACGUCCGUCGUGAAGAGGGAAACAACCCAGACCGCCAGCUAAGGUCCCAAAGUCAUGGUUAAGUGGGAAACGAUGUGGGAAGGCCCAGACAGCCAGGAUGUUGGCUUAGAAGCAGCCAUCAUUUAAAGAAAGCGUAAUAGCUCACUGGUCGAGUCGGCCUGCGCGGAAGAUGUAACGGGGCUAAACCAUGCACCGAAGCUGCGGCAGCGACACUAUGUGUUGUUGGGUAGGGGAGCGUUCUGUAAGCCGUUGAAGGUGGCCUGUGAGGGUUGCUGGAGGUAUCAGAAGUGCGAAUGCUGACAUAAGUAACGAUAAUGCGGGUGAAAAACCCGCACGCCGGAAGACCAAGGGUUCCUGUCCAACGUUAAUCGGGGCAGGGUGAGUCGACCCCUAAGGCGAGGCCGAAAGGCGUAGUCGAUGGGAAACAGGUUAAUAUUCCUGUACUUGGUGUUACUGCGAAGGGGGGACGGAGAAGGCUAUGUUGGCCGGGCGACGGUUGUCCCGGUUUAAGCAUGUAGGCGGAUGUUCCAGGUAAAUCCGGAACGUCACUAACGCUGAGGUGUGAUGACGAGGCACUACGGUGCUGAAGUGACAAAUGCCCUGCUUCCAGGAAAAGCCUCUAAGCAUCAGGUAACAUCAAAUCGUACCCCAAACCGACACAGGUGGUCAGGUAGAGAAUACCAAGGCGCUUGAGAGAACUCGGGUGAAGGAACUAGGCAAAAUGGUGCCGUAACUUCGGGAGAAGGCACGCUGAUGGUAGGUGAAGUGACUUGCUCAUGGAGCUGAAAUCAGUCGAAGAUACCAGCUGGCUGCAACUGUUUAUUAAAAACACAGCACUGUGCAAACACGAAAGUG
This 968-nucleotide ribosomal RNA is filed under the name Klebsiella oxytoca. RNAcentral's name for it is "partial 23S ribosomal RNA". It matches the Rfam family "Bacterial large subunit ribosomal RNA", at positions 890 to 1839 of the family's 2925-position model. The record is from RNAcentral. Lineage: Bacteria; Pseudomonadati; Pseudomonadota; Gammaproteobacteria; Enterobacterales; Enterobacteriaceae.